CGUAGGGGUGGUAGCUGUACUUGAACAUGUUUCGAAUUUUUAACGGUUCUAAUGGUUGGUUGCUUUAUUGCUAUAUAUAUAUAUAUAUAUAUAUAUAUAUAUAUAUAUAUAUAUAUAGCAAUAAAUAAAUCUUAAUUAACACUUUAUUAUACGUCUUUGGGCUUUUACACGGGAAGUCCAAGCUGGAUUAGUUUGUCUUUUAUGGAUGAUUGUGGAUCCACCACGUGGUUCCAGACGCUGCAAAGCUACGGAAUGAACAUGAUCUAGUGCUAAUGGCGCUAGCCAUCCUACGCCGCCAUGAUGGCUAGCUAAUAAGAAGUCCUUUAUGACCACGGCUCUUCACUCUAAACAUCACGGAGCGCAAUGUCAAACAUCCUGGUGCUUCAAUCCAUCGCAGAACCCCUGGUAUCAGCAAGGAUUAAAAUGACCACCUGAGCACCAUAUCAAAGUAUUUACAGAUCUGAUUUGAUGUUGGACUGGGGUGUCAUGAUUCUCAAACUGUCUACUGCAGAUAAUGGAUCUGGGGUGGCAGAGAUGAUGUCAAGUUUUGAAACCAAUGCAGAAUUAAAGAUUGUCCAGUGAUUCUAUUUGAAUGUCUAUGUAGUGAUCAAAACCUGUGGGGUUUUUUUUUUUUGUUUUUUUGCUGAAAUAAAACUUUGAAGUGGAUGCAUUGUUUGUUCCUUGUCUUUGCAUUAAGUGGAGUUUGAGUACAAAAUUAUUAAAUGAGUUACAUUGUGGGGAAUAUGGAGUUUUAUAAAUGUACUUUAAAUUUUGUGGUAAAAUUAAGGGUCCUUGAUCCUGACCAGGGCUUUGUACAAGUUGCUUGAAUUUGGCCUUUAGAAGUUUAUGUAUUGGAAAACUUCUUAUAUGUAAAUUAAGCCAUAUUAAAAGUGCUUGACAAAUCAAAUAUGAAAUCAUUUUUGUUUAUACAGUUUGUAUUAGUGUUCUAUCAGAUCUUUCCACUCAAUACGACGACCUGCUGCAUUAACAGCUCAUUGUUCAGUGAGUGGCUGAGAGGAGCAGCACAUUCAGUUGCUUCUAGCUUUCUGUGAUAAUUUUGAUUGUAAAUAUAGCUGGAAAUUGGCACAUCUUUAGCUUGUGAGUUAGACGCAGUUAUAAAUCAGGAUGUUAGCAGAGCAGCAGCUUGGGAGUGACUCCUGGUUAGAUGUACCUUGUUAUGUUCAUAUGCGUUCUAUUUUCUGACAAAAAUGACUUGGGGAUUUAAAAUGCAGUAUGCAAGCACAGAAUAGGAGAGAAGGUAAAGGGCUGACUCUAGGCAGCAAAUGAAAAUACGAGGGAUGAUGUAAUAUGCUAAUUAGUGCAUGAAAUAAUUUAGUGAGUUUCCACUGAAAGUUAUUGGCAACAAUGCUCCUGUCACUCAUGUGGUGUAUACUGACAAAAUGCAAAUUUAGUCCAGCAUGGCUGGAAAAGGCAACAUAUAAAAAUUGUUUGUGUUGUAUUAUUUCUUUUGGAAUUUAAAAAGAAGAAUAAAAGACUGUUUAAAUGCCAUCUCUUGUGGGGGAUGCAGUGGCUUAAUAGUUAUGUUUGCCUCAAACCUUCAGGGUCGGGGGGCUCAAUGCCUGCUGCCACCCUGUGUGUAUGGACCUUGCCCUUUCUCCAUGUGCUUUGGGGGUUUCCUCCCCCAGUCCAAAGACAUGCAUUGUAAACUGAUUGGUAUCUCUAAAUUGUCCAUAGUGUGUGUGUGUGAUUGUGCCCAGUGAUGGGUUGGGUCCCUGUGCAGGGUGUCCCUGGCCUCAUGCCCUGUGAGUCCACUGUGAUAGGCUCCAGGCUCCCCCUGACCCUGUGUAGGAUAAGUGGUACAGAAAAUGGAUGGACACCUCUUGUAUAGUCCUCGAAAACAAAGAAAAAUAGUGCUUUACGAAGUCCUGGAAUUUCAUUAUGAAGAAUCUGUACAAACCCUGCUGAUAGUACUCCUCUCAGACAUUUUCGACACUAUGUAAUUGGUACAUUCUCCAUGCCAAAAUACAGUUUAUUGUAACUGACAUACACCCAGAUAAUUAUUGUACAACUUAAGAAGGGACACUCAAAUCAAUUUGACAUAUUUUCCACUUGGACCAAAUAUUUUCUGUAAACGUUGACCCCAUACUGUCCUUCUCAGCUGCCAAUGAUUUAGAUAUGCUUUCUUGCUCCAGAGUCAAAAGCAAUGAUUUAGGGAUAUCAGAAGUAUUUAUUUUAACUUAUAAAAGUGUACAUGUCAAUGGGUAAAUUAACAAUACAUAAAUCUAGAUUCAGUUCCUUCUAAUUUGGAUAAAAAUCUGCCAUGACAAGAGGUGAGCUCAGAAAUCGCACAAGAACUAACUGCUCAUAUAAUGUAAUUUCACUUCAAACUAAAAUUUGUAAUUAGGCUUUGUCUGCUAUUUUACAAAAACAAACAGUACCCUCUGAAAGAACUGGAACAGCAAGGCAGAUUCUAUUGUUUUCGCUAUACAUUGAAGACAUUCAGGUUUGAGAUCAAAAGAUGAGUACGAGACAACAGAUCAGAAUUUCAGCAUUCAUUACCUCAUAUUUAAACCUACAUGUGUUAAACAACUUAGAACAUGGCAGCUUUAGUUUCAGCCCACCAAAUUCUUCAAGUAAUCAAAUUUGUAAAAGAAAAAAAAAAAUAUAUAGGUGUUUCGUACUGCCCAGGUUUGUCCUGUUAAAUUGGUUGUUUAAAGAAUUAAUAGCUCUGAUAUCUACAUGGUUUGAGCCCUGGGUUUCACCUGUGAAGACUGG
Molecule: long non-coding RNA, 2736 nt
Organism: Ictalurus punctatus (channel catfish)
Lineage: Eukaryota; Metazoa; Chordata; Actinopteri; Siluriformes; Ictaluridae
Source: Ensembl